This 528-nucleotide ribosomal RNA is filed under the name Ungla ivancruzi. RNAcentral's name for it is "partial large subunit ribosomal RNA". It matches the Rfam family "Bacterial large subunit ribosomal RNA", at positions 1809 to 2606 of the family's 2925-position model. The record is from RNAcentral. Lineage: Eukaryota; Metazoa; Arthropoda; Insecta; Neuroptera; Chrysopidae.
AAAAACAUGUCUUUCUGUUUAAAAUUUAAAGUCUAACCUGCCCACUGAAUUAAUUGAAGGGCCGCGGUAUUUUGACUGUGCAAAGGUAGCAUAAUCAUUUGUCUCUUAAUUGGAGGCUGGAAUGAAUGGUUGAAUGAAAUAUUAACUGUCUCAUUUUUAAAAGUAUAAAAAUUUAGCUUUUAAGUUAAAAGGCUUAAAUAAAUUUAGAGGACGAGAAGACCCUAUAGAUCUUUAUAAUUAAUAAAAUUUUAUAUAAUAGAAAAUUAUAUAAUAAUAUUAUAUUAAUUAUUUUAUUGGGGUGAUAGGAAAAUUUAAAAAACUUUUUUUAAUUAUAAACAUUUAUUUAUGAAUAAUUGAUCCAUUUUUAGUGAUUAAAAGAUUAAGUUACCUUAGGGAUAACAGCGUAAUUUUUUUAGAGAGUUCUUAUCGAUAAAAAAGAUUGCGACCUCGAUGUUGAAUUAAAAGUUAUUUCUAGAUGUAGUAGUUUAGAGUUUAGGUCUGUUCGACCUUUGAAUUUUUACAUGAUCU